ACUCAAAGGAAUAGACGGGGACCCGCACAAGCGGUGGAGCAUGUGGUUUAAUUCGAUGCAACGCGAAGAACCUUACCUGGCCUUGACAUCCUGUGAACCCUGAAGAGAUUCGGGGGUGCCGCAAGGAGCACAGAGACAGGUGCUGCAUGGCUGUCGUCAGCUCGUGUCGUGAGAUGUUGGGUUAAGUCCCGCAACGAGCGCAACCCUUGUCCUUAGUUGCCAGCAUUAAGUUGGGCACUCUAAGGAGACCGCCGGUGACAAACCGGAGGAAGGUGGGGAUGACGUCAAGUCAUCAUGGCCUUUAUGGCCAGGGCUACACACGUGCUACAAUGGUAAGUACAGAGGGAAGCCAACCGGCGACGGGGAGCCAAUCCCAGAAAACUUAUCGUAGUCCGGAUCGGAGUCUGCAACUCGACUCCGUGAAGUCGGAAUCGCUAGUAAUCGCAGAUCAGCAUUGCUGCGGUGAAUACGUUCCCGGGUCUUGUACACACCGCCCGU
RNAcentral lists this ribosomal RNA (498 nucleotides) under uncultured bacterium. RNAcentral's name for it is "partial 16S ribosomal RNA". It matches the Rfam family "Bacterial small subunit ribosomal RNA", at positions 899 to 1397 of the family's 1533-position model. The record is from RNAcentral.